AAAAUCCGUCGACUUUAUAAAUCGUG
RNAcentral lists this transfer RNA (26 nucleotides) under Rafnia vlokii. RNAcentral describes it as "partial transfer RNA-Leu (UAA)". Lineage: Eukaryota; Viridiplantae; Streptophyta; Magnoliopsida; Fabales; Fabaceae. RNAcentral also lists the same sequence under 1 other name. The record is from RNAcentral.